This 110-nucleotide ribosomal RNA is filed under the name Amphilophus citrinellus (Midas cichlid). The record is from RNAcentral. Lineage: Eukaryota; Metazoa; Chordata; Actinopteri; Cichliformes; Cichlidae.
ACUCCAACAAACUUGUAAGCCCAUUCUUUUCUGAUAUCAGAAGCUAAGCAAAUUGGGCCUGGUUAGUACUUGGAUGGGAGACCACCCAUGAAUACCAGAUGAUGGAAGUU